AACGCUAGCUACAGGCUUAACACAUGCAAGUCGAGGGGAAACGACAUUGAAAGCUUGCUUUUGAUGGGCGUCGACCGGCGCACCGGUGAGUAACGCGUAUCCAACCUGCCCACCACUUGGGGAUAACCUUGCGAAAGUAAGACUAAUACCCAAUGAUAUCUCUAGAAGACAUCUGAAAGAGAUUAAAGAUUUAUCGGUGAUGGAUGGGGAUGCGUCUGAUUAGCUUGUUGGCGGGGUAACGGCCCACCAAGGCAACGAUCAGUAGGGGUUCUGAGAGGAAGGUCCCCCACAUUGGAACUGAGACACGGUCCAAACUCCUACGGGAGGCAGCAGUGAGGAAUAUUGGUCAAUGGACGAGAGUCUGAACCAGCCAAGUAGCGUGCAGGAAGACGGCCCUAUGGGUUGUAAACUGCUUUUAUAAGGGAAUAAAGUGAGUCUCGUGAGACUUUUUGCAUGUACCUUAUGAAUAAGGACCGGCUAAUUCCGUGCCAGCAGCCGCGGUAAUACGGAAGGUCCGGGCGUUAUCCGGAUUUAUUGGGUUUAAAGGGAGCGUAGGCCGGAGAUUAAGCGUGUUGUGAAAUGUAGACGCUCAACGUCUGCACUGCAGCGCGAACUGGUUUCCUUGAGUACGCACAAAGUGGGCGGAAUUCGUGGUGUAGCGGUGAAAUGCUUAGAUAUCACGAAGAACUCCGAUUG
Molecule: ribosomal RNA, 696 nt
Filed under: uncultured bacterium
Lineage: Bacteria
Description: bacterial SSU rRNA
Rfam family: Bacterial small subunit ribosomal RNA
Source: RNAcentral